UACAGAGGAGCCAAGCGUUGUCCGGAUUGACUGGGCGUAAAGCGCACGCAGGCGGUCGGGCGCGUGGGGUGUGAAAUCUGGCCGCUUAACGGCCAGGCGCCAUCCCAUACGGCCGGACUGGAGUGAUGCAGAGGUCGGUGGAAUUGCCGGUGUAGUGGUGAAAUGCGUAGAGAUCCGGAGGAACACCCGUGGUGUAGACGGCCUGCUGGACGGCCACUGACGCUGAGGCACGAAAGCGUGGGGAGCGAACAGG
RNAcentral lists this ribosomal RNA (253 nucleotides) under uncultured bacterium. RNAcentral describes it as "partial 16S ribosomal RNA". It matches the Rfam family "Bacterial small subunit ribosomal RNA", at positions 524 to 776 of the family's 1533-position model. The record is from RNAcentral.